GGCCUGAUGGUCUAGGGGUAUGAUUUUCGCUUAGGGUGCGAGAGGUCCAGGGUUCAAAUCCCGGUCAGACCC
This 72-nucleotide transfer RNA is filed under the name Penaeus chinensis. RNAcentral describes it as "tRNA-Pro". It matches the Rfam family "tRNA". From Rfam's summary of the family: Transfer RNA (tRNA) molecules are approximately 80 nucleotides in length. Their secondary structure includes four short double-helical elements and three loops (D, anti-codon, and T loops). The record is from RNAcentral. Lineage: Eukaryota; Metazoa; Arthropoda; Malacostraca; Decapoda; Penaeidae.